GACUAUACGAAGGUAUUGAAAUAAGGCUUUAAUUGAGUGCUAAAAGAAUGGUUGAACAAAGAUUAGCUUUCUUUAAAAUCAUAAUAAAAGUUAAUUUAAAAAUGAAAAAGUUUUUAUUAAUUUUUGGGACAAGAAGACCCUAUGAAUUUUUAUUUAAAAAUUUCUUAACGUUUUUAACUUUAAAAAAUUAAGAAAAAUUUAAAUUUAAUUGGGGUGAUUUUUAAAUAUAUGUAACUUUAGAAAUAGAAGUAAUUAGAACCAAAAAUUUUGGUCUUUUGAAUAAAAUACUCUAGGGAUAACAGCGUUAUUAUUUUGGAUAGUUCAUAUAGAUAAAGUAGUUUGCGACCUCGAUGUUGGAUUAGGAUACUUAAGUAAUGAAGGAAUUACAUUAAGAAGUUUGCUCAACUUUUAAAAUCCU
Molecule: ribosomal RNA, 418 nt
Filed under: Alectorobius fonsecai
Lineage: Eukaryota; Metazoa; Arthropoda; Arachnida; Ixodida; Argasidae
Description: Ornithodoros fonsecai partial 16S ribosomal RNA
Source: RNAcentral